AGCUCCAGUAGCGAGUACUAAAAUUGUUGCAGUUAAAAAGCUCGUAGUUGGAUUUCUGCGCGCGUUGGACGGCCCGCUACCUUUCAGGUUUGUGGGAUCAGUCUACGACGCACGCAUCUUGCCGUGAACAGUGCUUGUCUUCAUUGGCAGGUGUCUGGGAACGGCUCUUUUACUUUGAGAAAAACAGAGUGUUCAAAGCAGGCUUGCGCCUUGAAUGAGACAGCAUGGAAUAAUAACAUAGGACUUUGGUUCUAUUUUGUUGGUUGUUCGAGAGCCGAAGUAAUGAUAGAUGGGGACGGUUGGGGGCAUAAGUAUUUCGGAGCGAGAGGUGAAAUUCUUGGACCUCCGGAGGACUAACUACUGCGAAAGCAUUUGCCAAGGACGUACCCUUCAAUCAAGA
This 400-nucleotide ribosomal RNA is filed under the name phytoplankton environmental sample. RNAcentral describes it as "partial small subunit ribosomal RNA". It matches the Rfam family "Eukaryotic small subunit ribosomal RNA", at positions 587 to 982 of the family's 1831-position model. The record is from RNAcentral.